GGGGGUGUAGCUCAGUCCGGUUAGAGCGCUGGCCUGUCACGCCAGAGGUCGCGGGUUCGAGUCCCGUCACUCCCGCCA
RNAcentral lists this transfer RNA (78 nucleotides) under Alphaproteobacteria bacterium. RNAcentral describes it as "tRNA-Asp". It matches the Rfam family "tRNA". Rfam says of the family: Transfer RNA (tRNA) molecules are approximately 80 nucleotides in length. Their secondary structure includes four short double-helical elements and three loops (D, anti-codon, and T loops). Further hydrogen bonds mediate the characteristic L-shaped molecular structure. tRNAs have two regions of fundamental functional importance: the anti-codon, which is responsible for specific mRNA codon recognition, and the 3' end, to which the tRNAs corresponding amino acid is attached (by aminoacyl-tRNA synthetases). tRNAs cope with the degeneracy of the genetic code in two manners: having more than one tRNA (with a specific anti-codon) for a particular amino acid; and 'wobble' base-pairing, i.e. permitting non-standard base-pairing at the 3rd anti-codon position. RNAcentral also lists the same sequence under 3 other names. The record is from RNAcentral. Lineage: Bacteria; Pseudomonadati; Pseudomonadota; Alphaproteobacteria.